Molecule: ribosomal RNA, 273 nt
Filed under: uncultured Staphylococcus sp.
Lineage: Bacteria; Bacillati; Bacillota; Bacilli; Caryophanales; Staphylococcaceae
Description: partial 16S ribosomal RNA
Rfam family: Bacterial small subunit ribosomal RNA
Source: RNAcentral
ACGUUAGCGGCGGACGGGUGAGUAACACGUGGGUAACCUACCUAUAAGACUGGGAUAACUUCGGGAAACCGGAGCUAAUACCGGAUAAUAUUUCGAACCGCAUGGUUCGAUAGUGAAAGAUGGUUUUGCUAUCACUUAUAGAUGGACCCGCGCCGUAUUAGCUAGUUGGUAAGGUAACGGCUUACCAAGGCGACGAUACGUAGCCGACCUGAGAGGCUGAUCGGCCACACUGGAACUGAGACACGGUCCAGACUCCUACGGGAGGCAGCAGCC